RNAcentral lists this ribosomal RNA (446 nucleotides) under uncultured bacterium. RNAcentral's name for it is "bacterial SSU rRNA". It matches the Rfam family "Bacterial small subunit ribosomal RNA", at positions 329 to 792 of the family's 1533-position model. The record is from RNAcentral.
UGCCAGACUCCUACGGGAGGCAGCAGUGGGGAAUAUUGCACAAUGGGGGGAACCCUGAUGCAGCGACGCCGCGUGAGUGAAGAAGUAUUUCGGUAUGUAAAGCUCUAUCAGCAGGGAAGAAAAUGACGGUACCUGACUAAGAAGCCCCGGCUAACUACGUGCCAGCAGCCGCGGUAAUACGUAGGGGGCAAGCGUUAUCCGGAUUUACUGGGUGUAAAGGGAGCGUAGACGGCGAUGCAAGUCAGAAGUGAAAGCCCGGGGCUCAACUCCGGGACUGCUUUUGAAACUGUGUUACUAGAUUGCAGGAGAGGUAAGUGGAAUUCCUAGUGUAGCGGUGAAAUGCGUAGAUAUUAGGAGGAACACCAGUGGCGAAGGCGGCUUACUGGACUGUAAAUGACGCUGAGGCUCGAAAGCGUGGGGAGCAAACAGGAUUAGAUACCCUCGUA